RNAcentral lists this ribosomal RNA (253 nucleotides) under uncultured bacterium. Its description in RNAcentral is "partial 16S ribosomal RNA". It matches the Rfam family "Bacterial small subunit ribosomal RNA", at positions 524 to 776 of the family's 1533-position model. The record is from RNAcentral.
UACGUAGGGGGCAAGCGUUGUUCGGAAUUACUGGGCGUAAAGGGCGCGUAGGCGGCACGACCAGUCGGGAGUGAAAGCCCGGGGCUCAACCCCGGAGGGUCUCUCGAUACUGUCGAGCUAGAGUGCGGAAGAGGCAACCGGAAUUCUCAGUGUAGCGGUGAAAUGCGUAGAUAUUGAGAAGAACACCAGAGGCGAAGGCGGGUUGCUGGGCCGACACUGACGCUGAGGCGCGAAAGCCAGGGGAGCAAACGGG